RNAcentral lists this ribosomal RNA (253 nucleotides) under uncultured bacterium. RNAcentral describes it as "partial 16S ribosomal RNA". It matches the Rfam family "Bacterial small subunit ribosomal RNA", at positions 524 to 776 of the family's 1533-position model. The record is from RNAcentral.
UACAGAGGGUGCGAGCGUUAAUCGGAAUUACUGGGCGUAAAGCGCACGUAGGCGGCUUUGCAAGUCGGUUGUGAAAUCCCCGGGCUCAACCUGGGAACUGCAUCCGAAACUGCAUUGCUCGAGUAUGGGAGAGGGAAGCGGAAUUUCCGGUGUAGCAGUGAAAUGCGUAGAUAUCGGAAGGAACAUCAGUGGCGAAGGCGGCUUCCUGGACCAAUACUGACGCUCAGGUGCGAAAGCGUGGGGAGCAAACAGG